RNAcentral lists this ribosomal RNA (902 nucleotides) under uncultured bacterium. RNAcentral describes it as "bacterial SSU rRNA". It matches the Rfam family "Bacterial small subunit ribosomal RNA", at positions 27 to 906 of the family's 1533-position model. The record is from RNAcentral.
GAACGAACGCUGGCGGCGUGCCUAACACAUGCAAGUCGUACGUGAAAGCCCGCAAGGGUCAGUAAAGUGGCGCACGGGUGAGUAACACGUGGGUAACCUGCCCUCGAGUGGGGAAUAACCCAGGGAAACUUGGGCUAAGACCGCAUGACCUCCUCGGAUCUGCGGAUCUGGGGAGCAAAGGUGGCCUCUGCUUGCAAGCUACCGCUCGAGGAGGGGCCCGCGGCCCAUUAGCUAGUUGGUAGGGUAACGGCCUACCAAGGCGACGAUGGGUAGCCGGCCUGAGAGGGUGUCCGGCCACACUGGAACUGAGACACGGUCCAGACUCCUACGGGAGGCAGCAGUGAGGAAUCUUGCGCAAUGGGCGAAAGCCUGACGCAGCAACGCCGCGUGGAUGAUGAAGGCCUUCGGGUCGUAAAAUCCUGUCGAGUGGGACGAAUCACCGGUCGGCAAACAGCCGGUCGGCUUGACUGUACCACUGGAGGAAGCCCCGGCUAACUCCGUGCCAGCAGCCGCGGUAAUACGGAGGGGGCGAGCGUUGUUCGGAAUCAUUGGGCGUAAAGGGCGCGUAGGCGGUCGGGUAAGUCGGUUGUGAAAUCCCCUGGCUUAACCAGGGAAGUGCGUCCGAAACUGCCUGACUAGAGGCCGGGAGAGGAGAGUGGAAUUCCCAGUGUAGCGGUGAAAUGCGUAGAUAUUGGGAGGAACACCGGUGGCGAAGGCGGCUCUCUGGACCGGUUCUGACGCUGAGGCGCGAAAGCUAGGGGAGCAAACAGGAUUAGAUACCCUGGUAGUCCUAGCUGUAAACGAUGGGCACUUGGUGUUGCGGGUAUUGACCCCUGCAGUGCCGAAGCUAACGCAUUAAGUGCCCCGCCUGGGGAGUACGGUCGCAAGGCUGAAACUCAAAU